RNAcentral lists this long non-coding RNA (468 nucleotides) under Chlamydomonas reinhardtii. Its description in RNAcentral is "long non-coding RNA (CREI_LNC000554)". Lineage: Eukaryota; Viridiplantae; Chlorophyta; Chlorophyceae; Chlamydomonadales; Chlamydomonadaceae. The record is from RNAcentral.
CUCCCAGCCCUGCGCCGCCUGUGCCUCCGAGCCCCGCGCCACCAUCUCCGGAGCCGCCUAGCCCUGCGCCUCCCUCGCCGGAGCCUCCCAGCCCUGCGCCGCCUGUGCCUCCGAGCCCCGCGCCGCCUUCGCCGGAGCCACCUAGCCCUGCGCCUCCCUCGCCGGAGCCUCCCAGCCCUGCGCCGCCUGUGCCUCCGAGCCCCGCGCCGCCUUCUCCGGAGCCGCCUAGCCCUGCGCCUCCGUCGCCGGAGCCUCCCAGCCCUGCGCCGCCUGUGCCUCCGAGCCCCGCGCCGCCUUCUCCGGAGCCACCUAGCCCUGCGCCACCGUCGCCGGAGCCUCCCAGCCCUGCGCCGCCUGUGCCUCCGAGCCCCGCGCCGCCUUCUCCGGAGCCACCUAGCCCUGCGCCACCGUCGCCGGAGCCUCCCAGCCCUGCGCCGCCUGUGCCUCCGAGCCCCGCGCCGCCUUCUC